AACAUGCUGAAACAUGUGUUGACUAGUUAGUGGCAAGGGAUUUAACUGAAGAACUGGCAGUGCAAGGGGAAAUUUGGACUUCAGAGAACAAAAUUGACAGCUGAAGUAGAAGCACAUCCAACUACACCAAACAGGACAAAACUCAAAAAGAAGGUACAGCUGUAGAAGAUGUAAAGAGUGUUACCCUAUCACUAAGUGUAUGAACAGAAAAUAGACGUUAUAAAUGAAAAAUUCAAAUUUAAUUACUGCAUCUCCUACAGUACAAGAAAGAUAUUAACCUACUCCAGUGGAGGCUAUAGCAGGAAACCUGUGAAGGAGAGGCUGAGGGCACUGUGGUUUUUCAGCCUUGAAAAGGCCAAGAGAGCAGGGGGAUCUACUGCUGUCUGCAAAUACUACACAAGAGGCUACAAAGAAGAUAGAGACAGGCUUAGAUGUGCACAUGGACAGAAAAGAGGCAGCCUGCAGAAGUCAGAUCAAGAGAAAUUCUGACCAGGGAUUAGGAAAAAUCAUUUACCAUGACGGUGGUGAAACAUUGGCAGUGGAUCCCCAGAAGGCUGUGACUCCCUCAUCUUCAGAUGACAAGGUGUACAUCUGUGAACACAGUAUGCCAAAGAAAAUGGAAUAUUGAGUCUUUUCAGAAUAAUGCUGACAAAUAGCAUUGAAAUAUUUAAAAGAGAAGUGAAGAUAUUAGUUUCCAGUCUUCAGUUGAUUAAGUAGCUCAAAAGGUAAAUAGGUGUGACUAUGACAUCUUUCACUCUGUUUCUAAUAAAUCUCAAAUCAUAUAUA
This is a non-coding RNA of Taeniopygia guttata (zebra finch), 786 nucleotides long. The record is from RefSeq and is a predicted model, not a curated record. NCBI's taxonomy places the organism in Eukaryota, Metazoa, Chordata, Aves, Passeriformes, Estrildidae.